UCCGGAUUUAUUGGGCGUAAAGCGAGCGCAGGCGGUUAGAUAAGUCUGAAGUUAAAGGCUGUGGCUUAACCAUAGUACGCUUUGGAAACUGUUUAACUUGAGUGCAGAAGGGGAGAGUGGAAUUCCAUGUGUAGCGGUGAAAUGCGUAGAUAUAUGGAGGAACACCGGUGGCGAAAGCGGCUCUCUGGUCUGUAACUGACGCUGAGGCUCGAAAGCGUGGGGAGCAAACAGGAUUAGAUACCCUGGUAGUCAAGGGCGAAUUCGC
This 265-nucleotide ribosomal RNA is filed under the name uncultured Streptococcaceae bacterium. Its description in RNAcentral is "partial 16S ribosomal RNA". It matches the Rfam family "Bacterial small subunit ribosomal RNA", at positions 544 to 809 of the family's 1533-position model. Lineage: Bacteria; Bacillati; Bacillota; Bacilli; Lactobacillales; Streptococcaceae. The record is from RNAcentral.